CCUACGGGGUGCAGCAGUAGGGAAUAUUGCUCAAUGGGGGAAACCCUGAAGCAGCAACGCCGCGUGGAGGAUGAAGGUUUUCGGAUUGUAAACUCCUUUUGUUAGAGAAGAUAAUGACGGUAUCUAACGAAUAAGCACCGGCUAACUCCGUGCCAGCAGCCGCGGUAAUACGGAGGGUGCAAGCGUUACUCGGAACCACUGGGCGUAAAGGGCGCGUAGGCGGGAUAGCAAGUCAGAUGUGAAAUCCUAUGGCUUAACCAUAGAACUGCAUUUGAAACUGUUAUUCUAGAGUAUGGGAGAGGUAGGUGGAAUUCUUGGUGUAGGGGUAAAAUCCGUAGAGAUCAAGAGGAAUACUCAUUGCGAAGGCGACCUGCUAGAACAUAACUGACGCUGAUGCGCGAAAGCGUGGGGAGCAAACAGGAUUAGAUACCCGGGUAGUC
Molecule: ribosomal RNA, 440 nt
Filed under: uncultured bacterium
Lineage: Bacteria
Description: partial 16S ribosomal RNA
Rfam family: Bacterial small subunit ribosomal RNA
Source: RNAcentral